AAAAAAGUAUACAAAAUACUAUUAAUUGCAAUAGAAAAAUAAUAUUUAUACGUUCACUUACUAUAUAAAUAAUAAUAAUUUCUUUUUUUUUGUCAAAAUAUAAAAAGAAAUAAUUUGCGGAGUUGAAAACUUGGAAACCUGACGUUGACGACCACCCCCGUCCACGCGACAACCAUUAACUAGGUGAUGGAAGCUGCGCAUUAUCCUGAUGUGGGUGGCAUUUUCGUAGAUCGUAACUCAUCUCACACAGGUAUACGACCCAGACAGCGAGUUUAUAUCUAAUGUACACCCAGAGUCCAAACAUAUAUUCCUCUACUCACACCUACGCGCACACACGCUCUCUUCUUCCCUUAACACAAACUCCACUGAUUUCACUGAAUCUUGCAAUUACUGGCUCGCUGGUGAACUUAAUGCCGCUUCGGAGUCAUUGAUGACUGAUAACCCCUUUUCCGGUGCCCCAGGAGGAAGAAGAAGAAGCAACAGGGUCACCGGAGUGACCUCGAGAUUGAAGGCAACGACCUUGGCUUGUUGUACUCUUUUCCUUUCGACAAAGAUCCAGUGGUCGUCAAGCAUUCGAGAUUCACUCUCCGAUCUAAUCACAUUCCCAGCCAGGGAGAGGUGAAGCCAAAGAAGAAAGGAGAAAUGGCUAACAAGAUAUCGAAUUUCUCUGAUCUAAUCCAACGAGUGGCGGCUUCAUGCUUGCUCCACCCACUCGCCGCCGGCAGGCAGGAUCCCGGGAAUGUAGCCGAGGACGGGAGAGAAGGGUACGAGUACGAGACUGACGAGCAGGAAGACUUUGAGGAUGAAGAUGAGGAAUAUGUGGAGGAAGAGGAGGAUAUGGAAGAGAAGAAAGGGAGUGUGAAAGGUUGGGACCACGAGAAGAAGAACAUGAGCGGAAUAGUGGCUAUUGAGAGAGUGAUGGAGAUGGAGAUGUUAAUGAACGAAGUUUUCGAUUCAGUCUCGGCGAUGAAGAGAGCGUAUGUGAGUCUACAAGAGGCGCAUUGCCCGUGGGACCCGGAAAGGAUGAGGGUGGCUGACGUGGCGGUAGUGGGGGAGCUAAGGAGGCUGGGUGUUUUGAGAGAGAGGUUUAGGAGGUGCGUUAGUGUUGGUGGCCGUGGAGGGAGAAAGAGAAUUGAUGGUGACGGAAUGGGGAUGUUAAAGGAGGUGGUGGCGCCUUAUGAGGCUGCGGUGGAGGAGCUGAAGAAGGAGGUGAAGUCGAGGGAUGUGGAGGUGGAGAAUUUGAAAGAGAAACUGAAGAACCUUAGCACCAGCCUGAGCAAUGGGAAUGGAAAGAAAGGGAGGUCUCAAUCAAAGAGGAAAGUCGGCUGCAUUCAUGCUGCUCAAGUUGCAGCAGCACCAGCACCAGAUCUUUUUGAAGCAACGAUGAACCAGGUGAAAGAGACCUCAAAGUCCUUCACAUCGCUUCUCUUAUCCCUCAUGCGUGCUGCCCACUGGGACAUUGCUGCUGCUGUCCGCUCCAUUGAAGCUGCAACUGCCACCGCUGAAAAUGUCGCCACCAUCAACCACACUACUGCCAUAGCAUCCACCAUUGUAACCCACCAUGCCAAGUAUGCUCUGGAGUCCUACAUUUCUCGAAAAAUCUUCCAGGGCUUCGACCACGAGACGUUCUACAUGGAUGGCAGCCUUUCCUCGCUUCUCAACCCAGACCAGUUCCGCCGUGACUGCUUUACUCAGUACCGAGACAUGAAGGCCAUGGACCCAAUUGAGCUUCUAGGAAUCUUGCCAACUUGUCACUUUGGGAAAUUCUGCUUCAGAAAGUAUGUUGCCAUAGUUCAUCCAAAAAUGGAGGAGUCCUUGUUUGGAAACUUGGAGCAACGCCAGCAAGUAUUGGCUGGUAGCCAUCCGAGGAGUCAGUUUUAUGGUGAGUUCUUGGGGCUGGCCAAAGCCAUUUGGUUGCUUCACUUGCUGGCAUUCUCGCUCGACCCUGCACCAAGUCAGUUUGAGGCAAGUAGGGGAGCUGAGUUUCAUCCACAAUAUAUGGAGAGUGUAGUGAAAUUUUCUGGUGGCCGAAUUCCAGGCGGUCAGACUGUGGGGUUCCCUGUCAGUCCUGGGUUCAAGCUUGGAAAUGGAUCAGUUAUCAAGGCUAGGGUUUAUCUAGUUCCCAGGACAUGAAUUGUUUCAGUUUCGGUUGAUAAAUGUAAUUUCCGUGCUGUAGGAUGUAAUGGGUUGAUUGGUUAGUUUAAACUUUUCUUCUCUCAAGAAAACUUGGAAGAGAUUCUAUGAGAGAAAUAGUUUGCUAGUGUUCCUAGGAAAUAGGUGGUUUACUGAUGCUAAGUCGUGUUAUGAUGGUGUGUCGUUUUGAAUGAGAAUUCCUUGGGCUGUUUGGAACAUGCUAUACAUGCAACAAGUUUUUCUCCUUUUAAGACCAACCCUCUCUUAAGCCUCUAAAAAUCAUUUGUCCUUCAGGGAGUAUAAUCAUUGCUUGAAAGUAUAGCAGUUCAGCUUCAAGAUUCAUUUAUUUACUUCCUCUGCAUUAAUUAAG
This 2503-nucleotide unclassified non-coding RNA is filed under the name Hevea brasiliensis (rubber tree). Lineage: Eukaryota; Viridiplantae; Streptophyta; Magnoliopsida; Malpighiales; Euphorbiaceae. The record is from RNAcentral.